CCUGGUGGUCAUGGCGGGGUGGCUGCACCCGUUCCCAUUCCGAACACGGCCGUGAAACGCCCCUGCGCCAAUGGUACUUCGUCUUAAGACGCGGGAGAGUAGGUC
This 105-nucleotide ribosomal RNA is filed under the name Gillisella terrae. Lineage: Bacteria; Pseudomonadati; Pseudomonadota; Alphaproteobacteria; Hyphomicrobiales; Rhizobiaceae. The record is from RNAcentral.